GGCACAUUGGGACUGAGACACUGCCCAAACUCCUACGGGAGGCUGCAGUCGAGAAUCUUCCCCAGUGGGCGAAAGCCUGAGGGAGCGACGCCGCGUGUGGGAAUACGCCCUUCGGGGUGUCAACCACUGUCAGGGACCACCAAGCGAUGGGGACAAAUAGUCCCCGGAGUCGAGGAAUCCCAAAGGAAGCCACGGGUAACUUCGUGCCAGCAGCCGCGGUACGACGAAGGUGGCUAGCGUUGUUCGGAAUCAUUGGGCUUAAAGAGCAUGUACGCGGCCCAUUAAGCGUCAUGUGAAAUCCCUCGACUCAACCGAUGAACUGCAUGGCGAACUGGUGGGCUUGAGGCAAGUAGGGGCGUGUGGAACUCUUGGUGGAGCGGUGUGAAUGCGGUAGAUAUCAAGAGGAGCGCCGGUGGCGAAGGCGACACGCUGGGCUUGUCCUGACGCUGAGAUGCGAAAGCCAGGGGAGCGAACGGGAUUAGAUACCCCGGUAGUCCUGGCCCUAAACGAUGUCCACUAGGUCGGAGGUUCUCUGACGGAGUUCCGGCCGAAACAAAAGCGUUAAGUGGACCGCCUGGGGAGUACGGUCGCAAGGCUAAAACUCAAAGGAAUUGACGGGGGCUCACACAAGCGGUGGAGCAUGUUGCUUAAUUCGAUGCAACGCGAAGAACCUUAUCCUGGGCUUGACAUGUACGGAUGCCUACUGGGAAACCAGGUCGGCUGCCAUUCGGGGUGAAACGUACACAGGUGCUGCAUGGCUGUCGUCAGCUCGUGUCGUGAGAUGUUGGGUUAAGUCCCGUAACGAGCGAAACCAUUGUCGCUAGUUGCCAGCGGUUCGGCCGGGGACUCUAGCGAGACUGCCGGUGUUAAACCGGAGGAAGGUGGGGAUGACGUCAAGUCCUCAUGGCCUUUAUGCCCAGGGCUGCAAACGUGCUACAAUGACCGGAACAAACCGACGCGAGACCGCGAGGUGGAGCAAAAUCGGAAAAAUCCGGCCCCAGUUCGGAUUGCAGUCUGCAACUCGACUGCAUGAAGUUGGAAUCGCUAGUAAUCGCGUAUCAGCCACGACGCAGUGAAUGUGUUCCUGAGCCUUGUACACACCGCCCGUCAAGUCAUGGAAGCUGGUAGCACCCG
RNAcentral lists this ribosomal RNA (1134 nucleotides) under uncultured organism. RNAcentral's name for it is "bacterial SSU rRNA". It matches the Rfam family "Bacterial small subunit ribosomal RNA", at positions 307 to 1423 of the family's 1533-position model. The record is from RNAcentral.